Crocodylus porosus (Australian saltwater crocodile) is the source of this 176-nucleotide small nuclear RNA. Its record names the gene U1. It matches the Rfam family "U1 spliceosomal RNA". Rfam says of the family: U1 is a small nuclear RNA (snRNA) component of the spliceosome (involved in pre-mRNA splicing). Its 5' end forms complementary base pairs with the 5' splice junction, thus defining the 5' donor site of an intron. The record is from Ensembl. Lineage: Eukaryota; Metazoa; Chordata; Crocodylia; Crocodylidae.
AUAUUUACAUGUGUGUGUGUUUUGCAAAAGAAAAAACCCCCAUGAUCAACAGGUUUUUCCAAGGUGAGGCCUGUCUAAUGUGCUCUGGGCAGACUGACCCCUGCAAGUUUCCCAAAUGGAGGAAACUCAACAGCACAAUUUUGUGGUAAUAGGGGACUGUGUUGUGCUUUCCCCCU